RNAcentral lists this ribosomal RNA (484 nucleotides) under uncultured bacterium. RNAcentral's name for it is "partial 16S ribosomal RNA". It matches the Rfam family "Bacterial small subunit ribosomal RNA", at positions 30 to 507 of the family's 1533-position model. The record is from RNAcentral.
AUUGAACGCUGGCGGCAGGCCUAACACAUGCAAGUCGAGCGGAUGAAGGGAGCUUGCUCCUGGAUUCAGCGGCGGACGGGUGAGUAAUGCCUAGGAAUCUGCCUGGUAGUGGGGGCUAACGUCCGGAAACGGGCGCUAAUACCGCAUACGUCCUGAGGGCGAAAGGGGGGGAUCUUCGGACCUCACGCUAUCAGAUGAUCCUAGGUCGGAUUAGCUAGUUGGUGGGGUAAAGGCCUACCAAGGCGACGAUCCGUAACUGGUCUGAGAGGAUGAUCAGUCACACUGGAACUGAGACACGGUCCAGACUCCUACGGGAGGCAGCAGUGGGGAAUAUUGGACAAUGGGCGAAAGCCUGAUCCAGCCAUGCCGCGUGUGUGAAGAAGGUCUUCGGAUUGUAAAGCACUUUAAGUUGGGAGGAAGGGCAGUAAGUUAAUACCUUGCUGUUUUGACGUUACCAACAGAAUAAGCACCGGCUAACUUCGUG